This is a long non-coding RNA of Homo sapiens (human), 1799 nucleotides long. Ensembl annotates it as long intergenic non-protein coding RNA 343. The record is from Ensembl. NCBI's taxonomy places the organism in Eukaryota, Metazoa, Chordata, Mammalia, Primates, Hominidae.
AUGCAUAUAGAAGCUAGUAAACACCUCCAGGAGAUGCAAAAGGAAUUAGAACUGCCACAAGGUGCAAGCAAAACCUUGAGCUGUGUCAAUGGAAUGACUAUUGGCAUCUUAGAAGUUAGAGAUGAAAGAUCUCCUAUCAGCCUGAUUCUUCAGAGACUUACUUGGAACAGAACCUCUGCUGUGGAUCUUAAACCACUCACUCUGGGGAAUGGGAGCACUACAAUUAUGAAAUAUAUUCUUUUCUGCUAUGGGAAAAUCAACACAAUUUGGAAGCAGUCCUGCCUGGAAUUUUGGGAAAUUGAUUCUUCCUCCUUGCCACUUUUCCAUCAAUCAACCUGCAGUCAAUGGAUAACUCCACUCUACUAUGUCUUCUAUCUCCUUUGUGGUACAUCUGAAAGUUGCUGAAUUGGAUCAGGUCAUUGCUUUGACAAUGUUUGUCACAAGGAUCUGUUGUAAACUCUCCCAAGAAAUCUUCCUCUGUGUAUUUGUCUUCUCAAGUCAUUAUGUUGUACCACCAAGUAAAUUAGACAUUAUGCAAAAGUACAUUCGUUUAUGAAAUAUACAGCAGAUAUUCAAAGAUAUCGUUUCCCAGUAAAACAGAAUGUAACAGGAUGUUUGCACACUAAGUAACUAUGUUUACUGUCAUUUAAAGAUCGACAAAUUCAAAAGUUCAUUAAAUUGCCCAGGGGCAUCCAACUAGGAAAUGGAAGAGCCAGGAUCCAAGCCCAGGUCUAACUGAGGGAGAAAGGGAUGUUUCCAUUGAUGUUUACUGUCCUGUGCCCUUCAGUCCCCUUUCUGCCCAUCUCAGAGAAUUUCAAUCUUGGAAUUCCCUCUCCAGUGUAUCCAGCAUUCUCUCAAUCACCCUUUCCCAGACAAUGUGUCUAACUAACAAACAAACGAACCAAUAAAGAAAAAGAAAUGGUCUGUUAAGUAAGAAGCAAAUCAAAAAAAGUAAACCUCCAUACUAUUUGAAUAUUUCCCAUUUUAAAUUUAUUUUCUAGAAGCUCUUUGGUAAGAAAUAAAAAGCACUAAAAAUUUCGAGCUUUGGGCAAUAAUGCUUAAAUCAAUUUCUUUUCAUGUUCACCGUAAAAAGAUAUUGCACUGAUGCUUAAGUCUAUUCCUGUCUUAGUAUUACAGUAUUAGUGUUUUCUGAAACGUAAAGUUCAGAACUUCAAGAUUAUUUUUAAUUUUAGUUUUAAAGUUACAAAAAUUUUAGAGACAGUUUGGGGGAAAUCAAUGAAUAUUUUUGGCAAAAGUAAAAGCAAUAAUAAAUACAAGGACCAGGAUACAGGCAGGCGUAUAUGGUUAGAAAGAGUUUCACUGAGCCAAAAAGCUCUGGAAAGGAGUAAGGGCACCAACUUGCCUUUAAAUAAUGCUGAUCCAAAAUUUCUGCUGUAAUUAGUCAGACUUGUGGAUGAUAGGCUAAUACUUUGAAAAACAUAGAAUUUCUGUCAGGCCAAAGUUGAAGCAUGCUAUAUGGAUUUAGAAAAAAUGCUGUUUUUAUUUUUUUAAACUUUCUGGAUAAUAGCUUUCUUUAGGGUAACAUAGUAAUUUCUUUAAGCACAAAGUUGUUUUAUGACAAUAUCUUGUUAUUGUUGAUGUUGGUUUUAUUACCACCACUGCUGCCAUUGUUAUCAUUAUGUUUGCCAUCCUGUACUAUUUAUUUCAGUUAGUCUUUUAUUGAGUUCACAUGGAACUUGUUCAGAGUAAUGCAUUAUGGUUAAGUAACUCUAUGUAUGUUACAGUUUGGGUUGUUGCAAUAAUCGUAUUUAUAUUCUCAAUGAUUAUCAGAUUUAUAC